Molecule: ribosomal RNA, 493 nt
Filed under: uncultured bacterium
Lineage: Bacteria
Description: bacterial SSU rRNA
Rfam family: Bacterial small subunit ribosomal RNA
Source: RNAcentral
AAAGGAAUAGACGGGGGCCCGCACAAGCAGCGGAGCAUGUGGUUUAAUUCGAAGCAACGCGAAGAACCUUACCAAGGCUUGACAUCCUCUGACGUACGUAGAAAUACGUAUUCCCUUCGGGGCAGAGAGACAGGUGGUGCAUGGUUGUCGUCAGCUCGUGUCGUGAGAUGUUGGGUUAAGUCCCGCAACGAGCGCAACCCUUAUCAUUAGUUGCCAGCGAGUAGAGUCGGGAACUCUAAUGAGACCGCCGGGGAUAACUCGGAGGAAGGUGGGGACGACGUCAAAUCAUCAUGCCCCUUAUGUCUUGGGCUACACACGUGCUACAAUGGUCGGUACAAAGGGCAGCAAACCCGUAAGGGCAAGCGAAUCUCAAAAAGCCGAUCCCAGUUCGGAUUGUGGGCUGCAACCCGCCCACAUGAAGUCGGAGUUGCUAGUAAUCGCGAAUCAGCAUGUCGCGGUGAAUGCGUUCCCGGGCCUUGUACACACCGCCCGU